This 253-nucleotide ribosomal RNA is filed under the name uncultured bacterium. RNAcentral's name for it is "partial 16S ribosomal RNA". It matches the Rfam family "Bacterial small subunit ribosomal RNA", at positions 524 to 776 of the family's 1533-position model. The record is from RNAcentral.
UACGAAGGGGGCUAGCGUUGCUCGGAAUUACUGGGCGUAAAGCGCACGUAGGCGGAUAUUUAAGUCAGGGGUGAAAUCCCGGGGCUCAACCCCGGAACUGCCUUUGAUACUGGGUAUCUCGAGUCCGAGAGAGGUGAGUGGAAUUCCGAGUGUAGAGGUGAAAUUCGUAGAUAUUCGGAGGAACACCAGUGGCGAAGGCGGCUCACUGGCUCGGUACUGACGCUGAGGUGCGAAAGCGUGGGGAGCAAACAGG